This 20-nucleotide microRNA is filed under the name Pinus taeda (loblolly pine). Its description in RNAcentral is "pta-miR950b". Its record names the gene pta-miR950a. The record is from miRBase by way of RNAcentral. Lineage: Eukaryota; Viridiplantae; Streptophyta; Pinopsida; Pinales; Pinaceae.
UCAGGUCCUCGGUGGUUUAU